RNAcentral lists this ribosomal RNA (486 nucleotides) under uncultured bacterium. RNAcentral's name for it is "partial 16S ribosomal RNA". It matches the Rfam family "Bacterial small subunit ribosomal RNA", at positions 30 to 507 of the family's 1533-position model. The record is from RNAcentral.
AUUGAACGCUGGCGGCAUGCCUUACACAUGCAAGUCGAACGGCAGCACGGGUGCUUGCCCCUGGUGGCGAGUGGCGAACGGGUGAGUAAUACAUCGGAACAUGUCCUGUAGUGGGGGAUAGCCCGGCGAAAGCCGGAUUAAUACCGCAUACGAUCUACGGAUGAAAGCGGGGGCCCUUCGGGCCUCGCGCUUUAGGGUUGGCCGAUGGCUGAUUAGCUAGUUGGUGGGGUAAAGGCCUACCAAGGCGACGAUCAGUAGCUGGUCUGAGAGGACGAACAGCCACACUGGGACUGAGACACGGCCCAGACUCCUACGGGAGGCAGCAGUGGGGAAUAUUGGACAAUGGGCGAAAGCCUGAUCCAGCAAUGCCGCGUGUGUGAAGAAGGCCUUCGGGUUGUAAAGCACUUUUGUCCGGAAAGAAAACCUGGGCCCUAAUACGGUCGGGGGAUGACGGUACCGAAAGAAUAAGCACCGGCUAACUACGUG